GUAAACAUUAUGCUUUUUCUUUUUAAAUGAGGGUGAGGAAAACUUGUUUGACUUACUGCUUAACACACAUGAUGAAUUCCUCAUGGUAAAAGUGAAUUUGAUCCACGAGGGAGCAAAGUGGAUAUAGAGACAAGACAGUCAGAUUAAUGGACAGAUCAGAACAGAUCUCGGAGGAGAGUGGAGCUGCAGCUCUGUGUCAGAGUCUGCCCAGCUUCUUCAACCUCCAUGUCCUCUGUUGUCUGCAUAGUCUGUCCAGCCUCUUCAACCUCCAUGGGCUCUGUUGCAAGGGUGGAGGUCUGGGGAGCAGCAGCAUCAAGACGCUGUUUUUUGUUUUGAGGCUCAUCUGAGGCUCUUUCGUUUGGGUUCCUGCAUCUCUGCAGGAGAAAAAAAAUACAGGUCAAGGAUUUGAUCCAUUUGCUUCAGUAACAUGAAUACAACACGAAUUUUGAGAACAUGAGAGAUUUCUGUUGAUGUUGUCUAAUAAACUGAUGUUUUCCAGACAGCUGCUGUGAUGUUCACCUUCUGGCUUCUGUUGGAUGAUGUCCCAAAAGGGUGAUAGUGAAUAGGCUGUGAUAGAUUGUGAGACAUCUGUAAAAAUAAAAAUAAGAUGAGGAUGAAACUCCAAUUAGUUCAAUGAAUUCAUUAAAAAUUGGGGUUAUGAAAAAACAAAACUCCGCAGACAUUGAACAGAUUGACCGACAUCAUUUACUGGCUUGUAUGAAGUCAUUUUUUAAAAAGUAGAAUUCUAAAAUAAAACGAAGGUCUUUAUCUUUGGUGAAGGAGUGUCCUGGGGAAUGAAUGAAACACUUUCAUCAUAACAAUAAUAGCUUUUGUAAACAUGGUGCUACAUCAUUUUACAUAAUAGUUCUUUUAGGGCUGUGAAAGUUGAUGCAUUAACGAACGUGAUCAAUAAAACAUAAUUAAUUUGUUAAUACUCAUUGAUGCUUUCAGGUGUCAAUCAACGUACUAAAACUUUGUCUACAAUAGACUUAUACUUUUUUUACAUCCUGUGAUUGAGAUUUUAUUAAAGAGAUAAUAUGGCAUUUAUUUGUAACAAAAUCAAUUUUUUCUUAAUAAAUUAGGCAGAGAAUGAAAGUCCAUCUGAUGGCUGUAAUGCAGCAGUGCAUCUGCUAUGGGGAGUGUGGGCAGAACAGAGCUGGAAACAGAGGAAACAGACCCUUUUUUUAUUUUAGGAUGGGGACCUACGUUUAUUUUCCACUAUAUCAAGCAUUGGUGUCUAAAAAUUGAGGAAACUCGGCAGCUCUCCGCGAAAGUCCUGCCCAUCAACAUCUUGUGGGGGUGAGUAGUUCAGAGAAGACAGACCUGAAAUCCAGCUGGAUCAAACUUCUCCCAAAAAAGUUUUUAGUAUUUUUCAUAAGCAUAAUAAAGAAAGUUUAUGAGAAAAAAAUAAAAAGCUAAAACAGAAAGAAAAAAAAGAGGAAAGAAAUCAAAUGGACAGAAGUGAGAAAUUUGUUUUUUUUGGGCUGCCUGGAAGCUGCAGCCUCACAGCCAGAAUAAAGUAGAUCAGAAAGAUCUCAUCAUGGAGCUGUGAGGUCUGAGAUCUUCCUCUAUCAACAGAAAAGUUCAUUAAUGUGGCCUAAAGGAAUCUGUGACUUUAACCUGGAUUUUUUUCAAAUUUUAAUUUAAAAACAUGUUGAUUAGCUUGUUGACAAA
Long non-coding RNA from Oryzias melastigma (Indian medaka), 1674 nucleotides. RefSeq lists it as uncharacterized. The record is from RefSeq and is a predicted model, not a curated record. The transcript is spliced from 3 exons. Lineage: Eukaryota; Metazoa; Chordata; Actinopteri; Beloniformes; Adrianichthyidae.